Molecule: ribosomal RNA, 301 nt
Filed under: uncultured bacterium
Lineage: Bacteria
Description: partial 16S ribosomal RNA
Rfam family: Bacterial small subunit ribosomal RNA
Source: RNAcentral
CAGUCGCCGCGGGAAUACGAAGGGUGCAAGCGUUAAUCGGAAUUACUGGGCGUAAAGCGUGCGUAGGCGGUUUGUUAAGUCUGUUGUGAAAUCCCCGGGCUCAACCUGGGAAUGGCAAUGGAUACUGGCAAGCUAGAGUGUGUCAGAGGAUGGUGGAAUUCCCGGUGUAGCGGUGAAAUGCGUAGAGAUCGGGAGGAACAUCAGUGGCGAAGGCGGCCAUCUGGGCCAACACUGACACUGAGACACGAAAGCGUGGGGAGCAAACAGGAUUAGAUACCCCGGUAGUCCCUGUCUCUUAUAC